CAAAGAUAUUUACUCUUUCCUUUUGUUUUUAAUCUUCUGAUGGAUGCAUGGUAGUUUUUGUUCAUAUACUGCUUUAUACUGAGUAAACAUAAUUGCUGUCUUGUUUGGGACUUUCAGUUGUCAUAAUUCCAUUAUUUUUAUAAUUAUCUUAUUAAUUUCUCAAACUGUAAUGAGAUGUGAUAGGCGAUUACAAUAGUAAUGCUCAUUAUAUUAGUAGUUGCAAUAUUGUAUGGUUGUGGCCCUGGCAGUAAUUUAUAGAAGAAAAGACAUAACAUUCAUCAUUCAAGUUUCAAAGAAAUAUGCCAUAAUUAUACUGUCAAAGCAGGAAAAAUGGAUAGCCUUGUUUAUAUUUCCCAUGCAUAUUCUCUCAAUAUAAAGAUGAAAAAAUGAUUUCACUUGUGUGGUAAUUUUACUUACCUGUUGAAGUUGUAGGUGAUUGUUCACUCCAUUCCCUUACAUUACAGUGGAUUAAAUAUGACCUAAUGAAACAAAAUGGUAUUGGUCAUAUAGAUUCUGAUAAAUCCAUGAGUUUAUAUCAUUUUAUGUUUCAUUUUUCUUAUUCAUUUGUAUUUGAAUCAUGUUGUUAUUCGAUGGUUAUAAAACCUUAGUUUUAGGCACCAAAUGUUUUAGCUACAAUAGACAUAAGUUAAAGUUACAUUAAUCUAUUAGAUGGGUUCAAUGGGCAGAAGUAGCUGUGCUUUUACUAUUUGACCAUAAGGUAACAUUUCUUCAGGUAGUUGAGCAAAAAUACUGAACUUUUCCUCUUGUAUAGGUGCUGAAAAUCAGGCUAAACUUGUCGAGGAAAGCAUUCAACAUGCCAAGAAUGCUAUCUCUUUAGAUGUGAAGGAUGGGUACUCUUGGUGUAAGAUUCCAAAUUAAAUUCUAUCCCAUUGCAUAUUCAUGUUUCCAAUUCUCUUGAUUUUUAGAUAUACUCAAAUUUUCUCAACUAUCUCUUAAUCCCAACAUUUUUUAAUGUAAUUCAUAAAACUUUUCAGCAGAUGCUGCAAGUUUGCAAUGACUUGAAAAUGUUGUUACAGCAAAAAAAAAAAAAAAAUUGUUAAAUGUAUUUAGUUACAACUGAUCAACUAUGGCUAGAAAAUCAUAAUUUGUUUUCGAUGUUGAGAGUGUUGCAUGUAUGUUAUAUUAGAUAUAUGUUAAAAAUAUAAAUUGGAGUGACUUAGCUUAUU
RNAcentral lists this unclassified non-coding RNA (1187 nucleotides) under Hevea brasiliensis (rubber tree). Lineage: Eukaryota; Viridiplantae; Streptophyta; Magnoliopsida; Malpighiales; Euphorbiaceae. The record is from RNAcentral.